This 492-nucleotide ribosomal RNA is filed under the name uncultured bacterium. RNAcentral's name for it is "partial 16S ribosomal RNA". It matches the Rfam family "Bacterial small subunit ribosomal RNA", at positions 28 to 507 of the family's 1533-position model. The record is from RNAcentral.
GAUGAACGCUAGCUACAGGCUUAACACAUGCAAGUCGAGGGGAAACGACAUCGAAAGCUUGCUUUUGAUGGGCGUCGACCGGCGCACGGGUGAGUAACGCGUAUCCAACCUGCCCAUCACUUGGGAAUAACCUUGCGAAAGUAAGACUAAUACCCAAUGACAUCCCACGAAGACAUCUGAAUGGGAUUAAAGAUUUAUCAGUGACGGAUGGGGAUGCGUCUGAUUAGCUUGUUGGCGGGGUAACGGCCCACCAAGGCAACGAUCAGUAGGGGUUCUGAGAGGAAGGUCCCCCACAUUGGAACUGAGACACGGUCCAAACUCCUACGGGAGGCAGCAGUGAGGAAUAGUGGUCAAUGGGCGAGAGCCUGAACCAGCCAAGUAGCGUGCAGGAUGACGGCCCUAUGGGUUGUAAACUGCUUUUAUAAGGGAAUAAAGUGGGUCUCGUGAGACUUUUUGCAUGUACCUUAUGAAUAAGGACCGGCUAAUUCCGUG